Molecule: non-coding RNA, 1768 nt
Organism: Nicotiana tabacum (common tobacco)
Lineage: Eukaryota; Viridiplantae; Streptophyta; Magnoliopsida; Solanales; Solanaceae
Source: RefSeq, a predicted model, not a curated record
ACCAUCGAUCACUUUCCCAUUUCAACCUACUUUGCCAAUUCAUAACAUCCCCCAUCCCUUAGAGAAUAUCAUUGUCCUCAAGGUCGAUGUUGAGCCACAAAAUUAGGAAAGUGAUGCUUGAUAUACCCCCAAUCUUUCCAUGUAGCAUCCUCCUCCCUAAGAUUUGCCCACUGAACCAACACUUUAACUCCCACGCCAUUAUCAAUCUUCACCAUUUUUUAUUGUAAUAUGGCCACUGGUUGAAUCAACACCCGACCGUUAGUAUCACACGAUGGUGGCUGAAGCUGAGGCUCGAUAGUUGGACCGAUUCUCUUAUUGAGUUGAGAGACGUGGAAGACUGGAUAAAUUUGAGAGCUUUCAGGAAGCUCUAAGAGGUUUAAGGGGGAUAAAAUGAUCAUGGCUUUUUUGUGGUGGCAAGGACUUUGGCUCUUCAAACACAUCUGAAAACUCCUCAAGUACUUCACUUAUUCUUUUAGGUAUGGCCACUUGUAUUUCAGUAACCUUAGUAGUAGUUGUAAAUAAAUGAGCCCGCCCGCAACACCUUCCCUUUUCUAAGAAGGUGCUUCACUCCACCAGCUGUCAUGCUAUGGAGCUUACCUUCCUCAGAAUAUCCCUUAAGGUCCACCCUUUUUACCUUCACAAUCACUUGUAGCCUGUAUUCAAUGAAAUCAAAUAGAAUGGGAUUAUGCUUCCUCAUCCAAUCCACUCCUAAGACCACAUCACACCCAUCAAUAUCCGGUAAUCUUAGCUUAUGUUCAAAGUAUAUCCAUUGAGUUUUCCAACUGAAUUGAGGACAAGAUUGGUAACUCAUUAGAUAGCCCUUAUUUAGCCACAACUACUCUCAUAGGUGUAUCAUCUUUAACUAUGCAUCCUAGGUAUUUUACAGUCUCACUAGCUAUAAAACUUUUGGUAUUUCCACUGUCUGCUAAGAUAUUUGGCAUCUUCUUCCCAUACACCCCUCUAAGCUUUAUGGUAGUAGAAGUUAUUGUGCCAGAAAGUGCAUUGGGACUGACGGCCUCAUCCAGUAUCUCCUUGAUGGAGUGAUUCCGAGCUAUGUAGAUGUUAUGGCAUGGAUUCAUGCUAUUUUGGAGUUUUGAAUUUGAGUAAUAACCCAAGGGUUAAGUUGGGAUCGUGUUCGGGGAUCAACGGAUGAUAGUGGAACGAAACGAAGAAUCGAGCAGGAGUGAUUUCGAGCUAUGUAGAUGUUGUGGUAUGAAUUCAUGCUAUUUGGAUCUUUGAAAUUUAAGUAAAAGCCCAAGGGUUAAGUUGGGAUCGUGUUCGGGGAUCAACAGAUGAUAGUGGAAUGAAAUGAAGAAUCGAGCAGGUAUAUUGUGCAGUGUCCAGUAAAAUGCACAUAACAUUUCGCUCGGAACUCUAUUUAGGCUCUAACAUAUAUCGUUGGAAAUUUAUUUAAAAGGGCUUCAACUUUUAUGUUUUACACUUUCCCAAAUUCCUAACGUAUACAACCCAGGUGCACAACCAAGUGCACGAUCGCGUACUGGGCGCGCACUUGGGGCGGAAUCGUGUGCAAAGUGCGUGACCAGGUGCGCGGUCGCGCAUGUCCUGUCCGAGAAAAGCCCUAUUUUUCUAAGAGAGGGUAGUUUCGUCCGGAUUUUUUUUGGGGGCGGAUUAAAUACCCCAAAACACCAUUUUUGAGGGGCUAUUGGACAUACCUUAGACCUAGGGAAGCUUAGGAGAAGAAGGAGAAGCAAGAGAACGAAGAUUUCAUCCUUCCUUCCUCACUCAAAUCCGAGUUUGGAUUGUAUUU